GCCCUUGUAGCUCAGUGGUAGAGCGUUGCACUUGUAAUGCAAAGGUCCAUAGUUCAAUCCUGUGCGGGGGCA
Transfer RNA from Fusarium verticillioides 7600, 72 nucleotides. It matches the Rfam family "tRNA". From Rfam's summary of the family: Transfer RNA (tRNA) molecules are approximately 80 nucleotides in length. Their secondary structure includes four short double-helical elements and three loops (D, anti-codon, and T loops). NCBI's taxonomy places the organism in Eukaryota, Fungi, Ascomycota, Sordariomycetes, Hypocreales, Nectriaceae. The record is from Rfam.